CUUCUAAUCAGGAAUCGAUUAAAGCAGAGCUCAGCUCCUGUGAUCACCACUACAACUUCCUGGAUGUUUUUUAUGAGCUGAUUCUCUUCGGCUGCUUUAUAAAUGGCUCAAAACCUCAGCCAUUUAAGGGAGGAUUCUUGGAGCGCCUGCUUGCGCUCUUCAGCAUGUGGGACGUGGACGUGUGGGAGCCUGCAGCAGAGCUGUACUUCACAGUGCUUAUUGAUUACCUUACAGAGCUUGUUGAAGUACUGUUCACUCAGCCUCUGGAGCUGACCAGUGACCCAGCAGCCUUAGCCACCACAGUUCAGCGACUCCUCAAGCUGCACGUCCAGCUGAUGAUGGACAUUUUGGAGGAGCUCUGAGCAAUGUCUUUCCCCUUACCCACUUCAUCUUUUCUUCCACUUCAUUUCAUGUUCUUUUCUCUCACUUCUUUUUCCUACAUUGCUCAGAC
Hemibagrus wyckioides is the source of this 451-nucleotide long non-coding RNA. RefSeq lists it as uncharacterized. The transcript is spliced from 4 exons. NCBI's taxonomy places the organism in Eukaryota, Metazoa, Chordata, Actinopteri, Siluriformes, Bagridae. The record is from RefSeq and is a predicted model, not a curated record.